ACGACCCGKGAACCGGUGAAGAAUCAUUCGGGAGGCGUGCGCCUUGGGGCCCCUCCUCCCGGAGUGUCCCCUCGGCGAAGGCUGCGAUCGAGAUCCACGUCCUUCGCCGCGGGGGCAAAACUAACAAAUCCCCGGCGCGAGUCGCGCCAAGGAAAAAUGAAGAGGGAUGCGCUCUCCCCCGUGUCGGAAACGGUGCGUCGGGGAGCACGUCGUCGUUAUCACAUUCAAAACGACUCUCGGCAACGGAUAUCUCGGCUCUCGCAUCGAUGAAGAACGUAGCGAAAUGCGAUACUUGGUGUGAAUUGCAGAAUCCCGUGAACCAUCGAGUUUUUGAACGCAAGUUGCGCCCAAAGCCGUCAGGCCGAGGGCACGCCUGCCUGGGUGUCACGAAGAGUCGCCGAACAUCCCUCCUGACGGAGGAGGCACGGCGGACACUGGCCUCCCGCGCGCUGACCGUGCACGGUUGGCCCAAAAAGUUAGGCCUUCCCGCGGGGCGGCCACGACACACGGUGGUUGAAAAGCGCAAGCCCUCCUCGAACACCGUCGUGGGCCCGCCCCGUUUACGGGGAGCGAGCCAGAGACCCCGACGCGGAGCGUCAGAUCACGGAGCGACCCC
Molecule: ribosomal RNA, 616 nt
Filed under: Simicratea sp. Luke & Luke 4747
Lineage: Eukaryota; Viridiplantae; Streptophyta; Magnoliopsida; Celastrales; Celastraceae
Description: eukaryotic LSU rRNA
Rfam family: 5.8S ribosomal RNA (bases 232-387)
Source: RNAcentral